Molecule: long non-coding RNA, 1084 nt
Filed under: Prunus dulcis (almond)
Lineage: Eukaryota; Viridiplantae; Streptophyta; Magnoliopsida; Rosales; Rosaceae
Description: sRNA ncRNA
Source: RNAcentral
GGAGAAUUCAGUUUAGGUCAAGUCACUAAACGAUGUCAAAUAUUUUGUCGAGUGUGUCUCGUCAUAAAAUUAGGAUUGACAUGUAUAAUUAACCAUAUGAAAUCUUAGAUAGGAAUCUAAAAUGAAAAUGAAAUGCCCCAGAUGAUAAUCAUUAUGAUCAUAUGAUAUAGUUUUUUUCUCCUUUGGUAAAUAUGAAGAUCAAUCAUGGCAAUGCCAUUUUAACAACGAAGAAUAAGCCACGAAUAUUCAGAGGAGAGGAGGAGCCCAGCAUUGUGUCUAAGUCCACCUUUCACAUCAGCUAUGUCCUUUGGAACUUUAUUUACAUAAAUUUGUGCGUGUGUGUUUUUGUUAACAGGUCAUCCUGCCCAUGCAUGUUGUUGUCCAUUCACAACAAUCACAGGCACAGCUACGCACCAAAUUCUUUGGCCGACAGUCCAAUCAAGUCACCUUUCCCGCUAGACUAGGGGUCUCCUUUUAUUGAGAUCCCCCCCACCAGGGUGGGUUGCGUGGACAAGGUGUGACUCCAAUAAAUAGACCGUCGCUUCAUUGUGAGAUUGGACAGACGAUCGACAUGGUCAUGACGAUGAUCGGAUUAAAUAAUUUCUCAUAAAUGCAAAUCGUAUAAUAGAGAUUCAUUAGAAUAUCUAGGCACAAACUCAGGAUACAGCAGUAAGAAUACAGUUUCGGAAGGAGAUUCUACACUAGAUCUACCACAAAAGCAGCGGAUCUAGCAAGAUCAUCCAAUAACCAGCCCCAAAAGGCUGGGAUACAAACCCUCAAGAAAAAGGGAAGAAACAAAACCUUGCAAAAGCAAGGAGCAGACAAACCCAACAAAAGUUGGGAGGAAAAACCUCUCCACAACAUAACGGGAGGAGAGAGGCCCGAAUUAUUAACCGAAUGGGGUGGUUCCAGGGGAGAUCCCCUGGAACCUAGGAACCUAGGAGAUUUACAGAUUUGGAGUUGAUUUUGGGUUGGGGAGUGAAGAAGAGUCGAGAAGAAAUGGUCCCCUUCUUUUGGUUCUUUUUUUCAUAAUGGUAACAUUUAACAUUUAGGUUUUGUUUGGUUUACUAAAGAAAUUGGCGAG